GUCUCAGAACAGCCUAGUCUCUCAGUCAGGAUAGUAGUUGACAGGUCUCAGAACAGCCUAGUCUCUCAGUCAGGGUAGUAGUUGACAGGUCUCAGAACAGCCUCAUCUCUCAGUCAGGAUAGUAGUUGACAGGUCUCAGAACAGCCUAGUCUCUCAGUCAGGGUAGUAGUUGACAGGUCUCAGAACAGCCUAGUCUCUCAGUCAGGGUAGUAGUUGACAGGUCUCAGAACAGCCUCAUCUCUCAGUCAGGAUAGUAGUUGACAGGUCUCAGAACAGCCUAGUCUCUCAGUCAGGGUAGUAGUUGACAGGUCUCAGAACAGCCUAGUCUCUCAGUCAGGGUAGUAGUUGACAGGUCUCAGAACAGCCUAGUCUCUCAGUCAGGGG
Oncorhynchus keta (chum salmon) is the source of this 384-nucleotide long non-coding RNA. RefSeq lists it as uncharacterized. The transcript has 3 exons. The record is from RefSeq and is a predicted model, not a curated record. Lineage: Eukaryota; Metazoa; Chordata; Actinopteri; Salmoniformes; Salmonidae.